AACGAACGCUGGCGGCAUGCCUAACACAUGCAAGUCGAACGAGACCUUCGGGUCUAGUGGCGCACGGGUGCGUAACGCGUGGGAACCUGCCCUUAGGUUCGGAAUAACUCCCCGAAAGGGGUGCUAAUACCGGAUAAUGUCUUCGGACCAAAGAUUUAUCGCCUUUGGAUGGGCCCGCGUUGGAUUAGCUAGUUGGUAGGGUAAAAGCCUACCAAGGCGACGAUCCAUAGCUGGUCUGAGAGGAUGAUCAGCCACACUGGGACUGAGACACGGCCCAGACUCCUACGGGAGGCAGCAGUGGGGAAUAUUGGACAAUGGGCGAAAGCCUGAUCCAGCAAUGCCGCGGGAGUGAUGAAGGCCUUAGGGUUGUAAAGCUCUUUUACCGGGAUGAUAAUGACAGUACCGGGAGAAUAAGCUCCGGCUAACUCCGUG
RNAcentral lists this ribosomal RNA (432 nucleotides) under uncultured bacterium. RNAcentral describes it as "partial 16S ribosomal RNA". It matches the Rfam family "Bacterial small subunit ribosomal RNA", at positions 29 to 507 of the family's 1533-position model. The record is from RNAcentral.